AGCUAUCUGGAUGGCCGGCCAACAAUUCACAGUGUCGUCAUUGUGUCGCAGGGGUUAGAUGAUGCCAGCGCUUACGAUACCUUAUGCUAAGAUGAUUAUGCUGACUCGUCAUUGGUAAAAUCCAUAUAAGUUGGUGGCCAGGCCUCCCCUGAAUCCUUGUCAGAAACUGUAAUCCAGAGCAAAAGUAGAGGAAUACUGCCUCCUUCCCUGUUCCUUGUUGCAUCAAGCGACUGAAUCGCUCAAUUGCGCUGCUUCUGUGUGUUCAUUUCUCUGAUAAUUCCAAGACCCGGAGCUGGAUUUCUCUAAUCAUUCCUGUUCUCUUGGUCGCACCUCGUGGCAAUGAGACAGAGUGCUGCUAGUUCUUCGGACCGCCAUAACCUGUCGCUGCUGCGUGUUUUCGGUCAGCUUCUUCUCUCCCUACCAGCAGAAAGAUUUCACAAGAAUUUGUUGUGUGGCGUGCAACGUUGCAGUGAAAUUUCCCUAUUACAAAGAUGCCAACCACGGGUUUGUUCUUAUGGAGGGAAAAAAACGUCCUCCAAAAUUGUUGCUUUAAAUUUUUUUUCAAAGUUAUAACCAAUAAUCAGCAUAUUCACCUGCUUCUAAAAUAGGCCAAGGAAAGUGGGUCCUGAAGAGGGUCUGCACCGGAUAGCAGUCCAUCAUCCCAAUCCAAGGCACAAUCCUUCCACCACCGCGAUUCCAGUCCCAAACACACAAAUCUGUUGGAAAAUUCGUCCUGGUGGCUGAUCGAGCCAAAGGAAGAGGCACACAACGAGGAAAUGGCAAGUGAAGGUCAGAGCCUGAGAGCUGCUGGAGCCAGUAACCACAUGACAUUUUCACUAUGCCUGAUCACGGCUUACCUCCUGAACAUAACCACCAUGCCACCUGCCGCAGAGCAAGGCGGCCACAUCGUUAUCUGGUUUAAUCUGGCCAUCGGAUAUCUGCUGGCGAUGGCGGCAGUGUUCUCAACCAACGUGAAAACAAAGGCAGCAGUAGCGAAAAUGAGUGGUUUCUCAGCCUUGCUUUCCAUGGUCUUGGUGAUGAUGGGAGAACUCAGCCGCACACCUCCAUAGGUGCUUAAUGUUCAGGCAUGUAACUGGGUUCAGUGACAGUUCUUGCAGAAGGAAUCCUUCAGCAAAAUGGCCAAUACAUGUAUGUACAAACUACAAAACUAGUUUGGGUUUGUAUCAUAUAUUUACAUUAAGCAGUAUUGCUAUAUGGUUCAGUAUGUAUAAUAAGUUGUAAAAUUUGCUGGAUAAUAGACGCUUUGUAACUUAUGUGGCAUUUGUUUGCUCAGAAAUAAAACUGACAAGAACCUGAAGAAUACCUGAUA
This is a long non-coding RNA of Panicum virgatum (switchgrass), 1330 nucleotides long. RefSeq lists it as uncharacterized. NCBI's taxonomy places the organism in Eukaryota, Viridiplantae, Streptophyta, Magnoliopsida, Poales, Poaceae. The record is from RefSeq and is a predicted model, not a curated record. The transcript is spliced from 2 exons.